RNAcentral lists this long non-coding RNA (247 nucleotides) under Elaeis guineensis (African oil palm). RNAcentral describes it as "long non-coding RNA (EGUI_LNC007688)". The record is from RNAcentral. Lineage: Eukaryota; Viridiplantae; Streptophyta; Magnoliopsida; Arecales; Arecaceae.
GGGGUCCCCUUUUUAUAGGCGGAGGGCAUAACAGAUUGACAGCGACGUCUGUAACCGCUUGGUAAUGGGCCGUUCGGGGCCAUGAGGAGUUUGUUACGGAGAGUAGUGGAGUGGAGUCGUGGCCAUCACCGUGGCCUGCCAUGUGGAGCCUGUUGUGGAGAGUGGAGUGAUGUCCGUUGUCGUGACUUGCCAGAGCAUGAUGGAGCCGCAUGGGAUCCGUUAUAGGAAGUGGAGCAGAGUCGUGGCC